UUGCAGGCCAUCCAUUUGGUCAGCUCCUCUUAAAUGUAUUAGCGGAACUCUAUGCAGUACCGGCUUCGGUUUGAUAAUCCUAUCUAUGCUGUCGCUGUGAACUGUGCUGUUUGGCUUAUAACUGUCUUCGGACUGCCAUUUACUUGGUAUAAAUUUUUAAGCUUAACCUCAAAUCAGGUAGGACUACCCGCUGAACUUAA
RNAcentral lists this unclassified non-coding RNA (200 nucleotides) under soil metagenome. RNAcentral describes it as "partial contains internal transcribed spacer 2 and large subunit ribosomal RNA". The record is from RNAcentral.